UAAGCCUAUUUUGGUGGAUGAGAUCUUGGCCUUUCAUCUUAGGUUUAGUUUUUCUUUAGGGGAGGUGCCUUAAAAGGAAAGGGAGCCGAAAAACAAAGGAGGGGACUGGAGUCUAAGGCAACGGACGAGGGAAAGAAAAGAAUACAGAGCAAGGAAAAAACAGGGGAGGUUACGGGCAAAAACCGAAAAUGAAAAUGAAAAAACAGAGAGGGGCGGCUGAAAAAAGGGGAGAGCUUCGUGAGGCAGGGGAGUUUCGUCUGAGAAGGGAGCUACGGCUGAGACAAGAAAAACAAAAGGGGGCUAAGAAGCAAAAAAAAAACAGAGGGUGCCAAUUAGAGAGGAAAUGGAGGGCGGCUAAGGGGAAAAAUCUGGAGAAGAGGGGAGAGUUUUCGGGUGAGGCCAGAAACCGAGAGAAAAGCUACGGCUGAAGGAGCAAGGCUUCGGACAGAAAUGAAAAACUAAGGAAAGGGCCAAAGGAAAGCUUCAGGCGUCUGGGAAGAAGCAAGAAAAACAGAGGAGGCUGCCUCUGUUUUCUUCUUUUUUUUCCUUUUCGCGCACCGCCGCCCACCCCAAAUCUCCUCUCUCUCCCCCACGCCUUCUGCCAUUGCCACCACCGCGCGCAACUUCCAUCGAAACCACUGCAGCUGUGAGGGUGAAAGUCAAGGCCCUUUACAAGAUUCCACCCUCUCGAUCACAGCUUGCAAUUAUACCGGUGAAAAGAAAGCUGCCACCAGCAUCCAAAGCCGCGGCAUCGGCAGCUGCCACCCAGGAAGUAAAGCCAACUAAAAGGUGGAGAAGAAGGGAGUUGAAGCCAUGGCGCCCGCUGCCUAAAAUCACUCAAACCUGUAUCAGAGGAACCACUGUUAGAGGCCAUCGUGAGGUAACCUAUCCAUUUACAUUUCAGUCUUUUGUCAAAAUAUAUUUGCCGUGAGGUUGGCGUCUCAAUUUUUGUUUGUCGAUUCUUCAUGUCCUUUUGGAAUACACGUAUGCUGUAUGUUGAUUGGAAUGUGUCUCUUGGGUUGCUGAUAGUAUUUUGGCUAAUUAUAAUAUCGAUUGAGCAAAAAUCAGUGAAAUUUUUGAUGCCCAGUUGGUGUUCGAUGAAAUGACCAAUUGAAUGUUAUACUCGGAAAAGCGAUUUGUCUGCAUUUGCGCAUGUGAAGAAACAAACGAACAACAAUUUCAAUGUUGUUUCAGAACAUAAUAAUUGAUUUCUAGGGUAGAAAGAAGAAUUUUGAUCUUGAUACAUUGGCAUGCGACUGUCUCUGUUUUCCUUUUCGGGCUCUGCUUUUUCUUUUGUAUGGAUUCGAAUUGACGGCAUGAAAUUGGCUUGAGGAACAGUUUGAGUGAGUUUUAUGCUUUGGGUUGAAAUUUGCUGAUUCUUUGGUGAUCAUUCGUCCGCAAAAGAAAGAUGAAGAUGGCAACUCCCAUUUGCCCGUUUGGAAAAAUGAUUAUUUGUAUAAUCUGUAAUCUCAUUCCCAUGAUUUCCUUUUUUUUUCCUGUAAUUUGCUCCCCACAGUUUUUUAAAACUUCAUAAUUUGACCCCAAAAUGUUCACAAUUCUUUCAACUAGAUCCCUAUUUUUGUUGUGAUUGAGCCUCUCAAAUUCCCCCUUGUUCUGAAUUAACCCGGAAAAUUGGAAAAGUGAACUUGUUUCUCCCUUUUAGAUUUUAAAUCAUCUUCUAAUAAGCAUGAGUAGUCCUUUAACUAAAUUAAUUUUGGGUUUUAGAUCAUAAUUGUGGCUUAAAUAAUUUUAGUUGAUUUGUUAUCUUGUUGGGCUUAGACUUAUGUUUGGCUAAUGAUAUUUAGUUGGGUUUGUGUAAGAGGGCUCAAUUCAUUUUUGGGUUUUUGGCUUGGGCUAGAGGGUCGUGGCCCAUGUGUUUUGGUUGGCUAAUUUUUGGGCUAAAAUAAUAUACUAGACCACUUGUUUUUCCUUGGACUUCCGAUUGGGCCAAGUGAUCUUGGCCCAAGAAAGGUGAAAAUGGCCCAUACCCUUUUGUUUUGGAUUUCCGAUUGGGCCUGGAAUGUUUUGGCCCAAGCAAAUAAGGAAAUAUGGCCCAAUGGCCUGAUCCAUUAGGAAACCAGAAAACGUUUUUGCAAAUCAGUCCCUGAAUUUCUCCUUAAUCGUACUGUGGCCCUGGACAUUUUCAACUUCUUUCAAUUCGGUCCUUAAUUAAUUGCAAAUAGGUCCCUGAACUUUAUUUUUCUUUAAUUUUGACCCCAAAACUUUGUUCAUUUUUGCAAUUAAGUCCCUUCUUCUCUUGACUUUUUAAAUGUGAAUUGUCUACAUGAUUUAAUUGAUUCAAAUUCAUGCUUAUUUUCCAUCCUUUGUGAUUUUGCCAAAUAAAUUGGUACCUUGACCUUUUUAUUGUUUUGAAGCUAAUAUCUCAUCUACUCGAUUUCCAUUGCAAGGGAGGUAACUUCUAUAUUCUUGAUUUUAUUUUUCCUAUGUGCUCCUACGUGUUAUGUGAAUAUGCCUGUCUAUUUCGCUUUCCUUACCUCCUUACAUGCAUUUACUUGCUUUUAAUUUUAUUUAAGUUUUAUGGGGUAUGUGUACACCUCUUGGCUUGUAAUAGAUAGUGCUCGGAGAGCAUCUUGUCCAUUUCCCCUUCCCCUUUAAGUUUUAUGGGGUAUGUGUACACCUCUUGGCUUGUAAUAGAUAGGGCUCGGAGAGCAUCUGGUCCACUUCCCCUUCCCCCUGGUUGCUUGCUUUUGUUGCUACAUGUUUAAUUGCUUUAUUAGGCUCUUGCAUCUAGUCGAGCAUGCUAAAUGCUAUGUGCUAUGUGUUUACGAGUAUUUUGGCAUGUCUACUUGCUUUCAUAGCCAUAAAUGAAUGGAAUGGAUGAAUAUACGUUUCCGCUAGUCCAACGCUAGUCGGAAUUCAUAGAAUGGGCUAGUCCAACGCUAGACCCUUAGGGAUUUCCCCUCAUUAGCAUAUCAUUUGCUUGUUCACCACAUAUCAUGCAUUUUUCUUAGUUUUAUCACUUGGCAUGCUCCUCGAACCCCCUUUCCCUUCAUUUUAGGAUUUUUGCAUAUCAUGAUAGUUGUAGGGUCCAUUUGCUUGAGGGUCCCCUUCUGAUAAGGGAAACGAGCGAGUGUGGCUACUCGAUAGCCUUAGCACGCUAGUUUUGCCUUCUAAUCAAAGGGAAAAUCGAAGUCGAAAAAGUUAGGAGUCAUUCCCACACCCGACCUGAUGCAUUCCCUUAGGUUCAUUCAUUCUCAUUUAUCACUCACUCAUUCUUUUCAAUUCACAUUUUCCUUUCCUUAUUGUUCAUUUUGAUUUCUACUUCACAAAAUUGCAUUUAAUUACACCUAUACGCACUUCUCACUAUAUUUCAUACACUUGCACACAAACACUUGGAAUUUUCAUACAAUUGCACACGUGCACCUUUCCAUACACUUGCACACAAACACUUGGAUUUUUAAUUUCUUUCAUACACUUCCACACUUGCACAUUUGAGUCUCAUUUGCAUUAAUCGACCUCUAUGGGGUUUUCCUUUGUUGGCCGCCACAAUUCAUGUGGUUUGGGACCAAAAGCCUCACGAGAGACAUCGUAGAAUUUAGGAUUGCAUUUUUCUUUCCGUUUUGCAUUCAUAUAGUCAUAUCCAACGUGCGAACAUAUAUUGGGUAGAAAAUUAGGAAAGGUAAGGUUAAGUCGCGCAACUAGCCUUGGCUAGGUCAAAGGGGUGCCUUGGAUUCUAUCCUUGCCUUCCCCUUUGUCAAACGUGACCCCCGAACCUUUUUCUUUGGCUUACGUGGACUAGGAGUCGUUUUAAAAAGGGUUUUACUACUUUGUCUUUAAAAAACACUUUUUGGGUGACUUGGUACACCCCAAAUCUAUACCAAGUGGCGACUCCGUUUUCAUAUUUAAAAAAAACCCUUUUUAAAAUUUCAUUUGGCCAAAUCGUCGCUUUCCAAAGUCCCAUGGCCUUUUUACUUUUCAUUUUGCACACGUUCACACCACACUUCACACACACAUCACACACAAUUCAUUCAUUCGAAAAGUGGGGCGCGACAGUUGGCGACUCCACUGGGGACUUCCUAAGUGGGUCCGAGCAUUUGAUUUAGCCAUUCGUUUCCUUUUUCUACCCUUUUUAUGCAUUGCAUUUGGAUAUUAGGGUUGCAUUUUCCAUUUUUAGGGCCUUUUGCCUCGCGCGCGUAUCCAACUAUUCCCUCACUCACGUACGUGUGAUUGGUUGAUUGGAUGUAUGUUUACUUAUUUAUCUCGCGCUUGCAUUGCAUUUGGGAGGGGGUGUGGCACCUUUAGAGCCUCGUGUUGGUUCUCAACCCCUUCCCUCAAAAUAGGGGAACACUUCAUACGUGCACGUUUACUUGCUUUUAUCCCAUUUUAUUUUAUUUUUCGUGGGCGCCAUCCCACACCGCCUUGUAGGACUAGGAUCGAUUGCCUUGGGUAGGCGGCUGGUGUGCUCUGCGCCCAUAGCGCUACCUAAGGGAUCACUCGAGCCACCGAUCGAAGGCCCUGGGAGUGAUGACCCUUUGCCUUUAGGUCUGAAGGCUUGGGAACCGAAGCUUUAUCGAGUCUAGGCAUUAGUGAACCCCAGCCUCAUGCAUCCAUAUUAGAAUUUUCCUAGGUUAGAGUCAGCCUCACCCUAUUUUAAGCACAUUAGGCACGAGGGAGGGGGUUCCACCCCUUUUACUUGUUUUUUAUUGUAUUUCUUUUCUUAAUUGCUCCCAAUGUGUUAUGUGUACUAUCAAAUUGCACUAACCGUUCUUUUGUUUUCUUGGCUUGCAUUCAUGUGCCUUAGCGAUAAGAGGCCUCUUUGGCACUCUUUUAGUGACUCACCCACUAGAUAGCUCACAUAUCUAAAUUUCAGUCUUUGCACUUGCUUUUCAGUAAAUACAUUUCAUGUUUAGACCUUUUCCCCCCGUUGCAUUAUUUAUGUGCUUUAGCUCACAUUUCAUGUUUGUCACAUAUUUACAUAGCUUUAAUAAACUGGCAUCAUGCAUAAACCAUAGAAAGGGAAUGCCACAUAGGGAAUCCCGUGUUUAGGAUAAGCCACCUUGUGUCUCGGAUACUUAAUCCAGUGAGACUUGCACGUUUACAUUUUGUACCAUCCAAAGGGGUAGUGCACAAGGUAAGGUAGGAUCCGAUUAUUUUCAUAGAGUGAUCUUUGGAAUAUGAGUAUCUAAUAAUCACUUUUUGGCCAUUUUAUCAAAAAUUGGUAAAAAUCCCUUGCGUGAAGGACAUUAAUUCGAAGAAAAUUUACAAAUGAUUCCUCAUUGUUGAGACGAUAAAUCAAUUGAGGCCAAAAUUUGAUUUUAGAGGCUCAUAGACCAAGGCAUUGUAAUGAUUUCUUGAAACCACCCAGUGGGCGAAUAAUUCAACCGAUUUUUGAACAAAUCAUCCAUCUUAUCCAAUCCAUUUUUUUCCAAUUCAUUCAAUUUUAGUUCAAUCUAAUCAUUUUUGAAUAAAUUCAUUUCAUCCAAUUCAUUUGACCAAUUUACCCUUUUUAGGGUCAUUCGGCCGAUUUUUGAAUAAAUCCCUAAUUCAAUUUCGUUCAUUUGACCAAUUUACCCAUUUUUAGGGCGACCGAGCCGAUUUUGAAUAAAUCAUGUUUCGUUCAAUCUAUUUGAUCAAUUUACCCUUUUUAGGGUGAUCUGAUUAAUUUCGGAUAAAUUUCACUCAAUUCAUUUGACCUGUUUCCCUUUUAGGGUAAUUCGGUCGAUUUUAAAUAAAUUGUCAAUUUCAUUCAACCCACUUGCCCUAUUAGGGUUUCAUUGUCAAAUUCCAAAUUGGGAGAUCUAGUCAAUUUUGAAAAAUCGUCCAUUGCAUCCAAUCAUUUGAUCAAUUAGGGUUUUGACCCGUAAUUCACUGAGAAAAUUUGUUAAAACGAAUUCCAAUCUUUUCGAUGGGAGGUUCGUCAAGGUCAAACCCGUGCCUUUUGCAAAUCAAAGGUGAUCAAUCUAUUCGGACGUUGUCCUCAUUUUGACAAAUCUCUCGUCACUCCAAUGGCCAAAUUUUUCAAAUUAUUUUUCACUCCAUAAGCUGAUUGGAUCCAUCAGGUAUAGUAUGGUGCCUACUCUAACGGAUUGCAUUUUCAUGCUAGGCCUACCCUUGGCAUAAAAGGGUUCCCCCAUAGGGCAUGCAUACCGAUUUUAUGGUUUUGAUUACUAACUUUGGGUAUUUUUCUUUUGUUUUCCCCCCUUCCCUGCAUUCAUAAAAAUACUUCAAUAAAGGGAAAAUAUUUUUCUAUAUCUGACGGCACUUUCGAUCUAAUAAAGUGUCAAAACUGCAAGUGUUAUUUGAUUCUUGGACAGAUCCUACAACGAAAACAUAAAUGAUUUAUCUGGAAGCUCUACGCCAAAGCCUCUGAGAGAUGUUGUAAUUGUUUUCCAAAGGAAAAUUUUCUAUAUUUGAUUUGUUAAUACAUUUUGUUCCAAAAAGAAAAGGAGACAAAAAGUGUAUAUGUGGAGCUCUUUACAAGUUUCUCCCUUCUCACUUGUAUCGUAAUUGAAUGAGAAAAUUUGUUUCAAACUUUUUCAGCAAUAAACUGUUUGGACAAUCAUUGUUUUGUGUAUAUUUAUGUACAUUUCAUUCUUUAUUCUUAUUCAUUGGAGAUUUCAUGAUGAAUUUUAAGAAAUAAGACUAAAUUGGGAUUUUUUCAACCUCCGACCUGAAAAUUCACAAUAAGAGUGUUCAGAAUUAAAAGAGGUCAUUCAGAAGGCCCAAUGAGAUAUCUUUUUUCCUUCACUGAACCCCAAAAUAAAAUCAGUCACAUUGAUUGAUAAAUCGCAAAUUGGGGCCAUCUUUGCUUGAAAAUAUCCAUUGUGUUUAAUCGAUUCAAUUCACAUCUAAGUGAAAGCAAAAAUGUGCAUUAUUCUUGUUUGUUUUGGAAAUUUGGAAUGAUACUUCGAGCAUUCUUUUCUCUACCUAUACAGAUUUUUAUCACUUGCUCUCCCAUUUGAGCCUAUGAAAGAAUAAUUUCGUUUCAAAUAAGAGCCCUAAUGAU
This 6967-nucleotide long non-coding RNA is filed under the name Coffea arabica (coffee). RNAcentral describes it as "long non-coding RNA (CARA_LNC007737)". The record is from RNAcentral. Lineage: Eukaryota; Viridiplantae; Streptophyta; Magnoliopsida; Gentianales; Rubiaceae.